This 453-nucleotide long non-coding RNA is filed under the name Dromaius novaehollandiae (emu). Its description in RNAcentral is "lncRNA (ENSDNVG00000008470.1)". The record is from RNAcentral. Lineage: Eukaryota; Metazoa; Chordata; Aves; Casuariiformes; Dromaiidae.
GGGAAAGAAGGAAUUCAUUUAGCCCAAGUAUUCUGAAGGCUUUUCUCUUAGCUAGUGGACCGGAUGAGAGCUUAAACACUUCUAAGAAUUUUCCUUCUCCUAGAUACACAUCCUAAAUUUAAGGGAGGUGGAGAGUCCACUCCUACAGCUUGGUUCUAAAACAACGGCAAAAGCUGCUGUCUUACAAAGAAUGAAAACAGAGUCACUGAAGUCUCUCGCUCCCAUCACACACUCAGCAGACCCCUGACAUCUGCAUACUCUUCACAGAAGAACAGAUCUGGCUACUGUGGCAUACUUCAUCUGUAUCGUACAAAUGAAAAAAUGGUUCAGGACUCCGGGAAAGCUUGGAGUUUAAGGAUGAUUUUGAUUUAAAUACCCAGGCAUAAUCAGGCCCAGGUAGAGAUUUAAUGAAGCAUAUUCAAACUUUGAAAAACAUCCAGCAGCUGCUAGAGC